Oncorhynchus tshawytscha (Chinook salmon) is the source of this 4662-nucleotide long non-coding RNA. NCBI's taxonomy places the organism in Eukaryota, Metazoa, Chordata, Actinopteri, Salmoniformes, Salmonidae. The record is from Ensembl.
UUAAAGACUGAAAAAAGUAAGGGGCCUGGACAGCUGCCCUGGGGAAUUCCUGACUCUAACUAGAUUAUGUUGGAGAGGCUUCUGUUAAAGAACACCCUCUGUGUUCUGUUAGACAAUUUAACUCUUUUUCCACAAUAUAGCAGGGGGUGUAAAGCCAUAACACAUCAGUUUUUCCAGCUGGACCUGGCUCCCCAGUGGGUAGGCCUAUGCCCACCCAUAGCUGCACCCCUGCCCAGUCAUGUAAAAUCCAUAGAUUAGGGCCUAAUCUAUUUAUUUAAUUUAUUAUUUAUUUAUUUCCUUAUAUGAACUGUUUCUCUGCAAAAUCUUUGAAAUUGUUUCAUGUUGCGUUCAUAUUUGUUCAGUAUAUAAGGGACACUUCAUGUUUUGUGUAUAAUAUUUACAGUGGGCGAGCUCCAUUCCUGACAGGCUGAUUUGGAUUCGAUUUCAGCCUAUUAUCCAAAUAUUAUCCAUAUAAGUAUCCCUUACAAUUAUACACAUCAGUUAUACAAGCUAACAACCAGCAUAGAUAACAAGCUAGAUAGCUAGCUAACAAGACUACCUAGUUAACUAGCUAGCUAGCUAGCUCGCACACAAGACUAGCCAAGUUAGCAUGCUUGCGAUUGGCUGUGGCACACAGUCUGGGAGACAGGGCUGCCUGUCAGGCAUCAUUCAGGGCUUAAUGUCCCACGAGGACUUAGCAGCACCAAAAAUUCUUAGGUAAAGGUAAGGGACAUUUAUCUUGCUAACGUUCUAACUUAUAAACUGAUAAUGAGUUUCAAACACAAAUGAAAGCAUGAUGUGAGCAUGAAAUGUACCAUCCCUUAGUAUAGCAGUCAAUAAAAACAUAUGCACUGAUCCACCGUAGGCUCUGCCUCCUCAGCCAUACUGUCAAUAUAUCAUCAAUAAUUCCACUCCUAUUUAUGGAGCUUAUCUCAUGAUCUCGACAAAACAACUUUUGUUAUGUUGAGAUCACAACGAGGGAAUACUUUUUAAAAUUAAUAUUUGGGUGAAGUUUGUUUUAGUUGAUAACCAUGGAGGGGGGAUUCCGACCCGAGUUAAGCAUGCCUAAAUGGAACGUAAUUCCAUUUUCAUGUACUUUUCUCUCUACACGUUUUUUGACCUUGAGCUUAAUCAUGAGAAUAGCAUGCUAUUCGUUUGGGUUGGAGAUCAAAUAAAUUGACGUGUGGCUACAGAUACGCUGUAUUCUGAACUCAACUUAAUGCCACCAUCUUUACGUGUGUUGAAAUGAAAGGUUGAGCAACCUUUCGGUUCCAAGAGGAACAUCUCGUUUAUUUUUUCCUGAUUAGAAUUAACACCAUUCUCCAACUCUACACAGUAAUUUACAAAUUGAAAAGAGCUAUUGAUAAGAGCUAGGUAAAUGAGUCAGCCAUUUUGGAUAAGAGGAUUGGAAAUAGAAAUGACAAUUGUUUUUGAUCUUUUACCCUACGAUCGCUGGCGACAAAUGUGAAUCCAGUCAUAUGGCAGCAAACUAAAACAUCCACAUUUCCACAAUGAAUAUUAUGAAAAGCUUGACUUAUAACUUUCAGGGAUGAAAUUUGGAGACCCAAGCUGUAGCCAAACCUACCGAGUUGAUUUCUAGAAUGUUUUAAUUACAGUAUAUGCCCAGACUUGUCACUGUAUUUUUAAAAAUUUGUAUCGUGUUAAAUAUUAGCAACCGUCAGUUAUACCCACAUACAUUUAUAACUGUCACUUUAGUGUUAGUUUCCUUACAUUUUGCAUCAUUCCAUUACAUCAUUAGUUUACCUUUCUUUCCUCUCUUGCUCAUGUUGUUCCUGAGGUUCACUAGCAACAGUGGAUCAUAUUAGGCUAAUGUAUUACAAGUUAGGCUACAUGUCUCAAAUUACUGCACAUUUGAAUCAUUAUGGAAUGCAGACCAUACGUAGCAGUUUAAACCUGGAGCCUGGUGCACGGUUCACGACACCUGGACCUUUGUCAUCAGUUCCAUGAUUAGUGACGGUUAUUAGGGUAGUUUUAUACGACUACUGUUCAACCCCUAUAGUUCACUUUUCUCACCUUCCAAUAUUAUCUGGAUUGAACAAUUGAAUAUGACAACUUUCAGGAUGAAUCAAACCACUGUAUUUUUGAUUCACCAAUAUAUUUUGUGCAUAAAGGCUCUCCAACAGUUUUUAUUAUUAUUCACAAAUACAUUCUUAACCCUGAAUAAUAUACAUCAGAGUAUUUUUUUAAUCUACAAAAUUGGUGGUGAAAAGGCAAUGAAUAUUAGUGUAUUUACAUUGCUUUUGGAAAUUUCUCUAAUUCCAGUAGUGAUUCCGAUUAUUUAUAUAUAUAUAUAUAUAUAUAUAUAUAUAUGCGUACUAUCGUGCUCCGAGUGCAUUCUACAACCACAUUCUCUUGCGUACGUUAUUGUGAGAACGAGAGUGUGGAGGAUGCCUAAAACAAUACAUUUGAGAAGCACUCGCACUCCCCAUACUGUAUUACCUCACGCUUCACCUCCCAUUCACUGAACCUUCUUCCAGCCAGGACAAUGGCAACAAUAGAUGCAACAAGAUAUACACAAAGCACAUUUUUUCUUCAUAAUUAUCAGCUAGAUAUGUAAUUUAGCUAGCCAGCUAGUUAAACAGGCACAAAUUACAUAAAGCUAAUGUUAUGCAGGGUAGGCAGGUAAACAUGCCAAAAUUAAUACAGAAUGUAUUUAUUAACGUAUCAACGUAGUCAGGCAACAUAUGAGAUAGGCAACACUUUUUUUAUUCCAAAGUCGAAGUGUAUUUUCUCUCGCUUCAGUUUAAAAAAUGGCCGCCAUUGAUUUCAAGAAAUGUUGCGUCAUUUUUUACGUGGUUGCAUCAUAUUUCUUUGCAUAAUUUCUGUUGAAGCUUGCAUUGACGCAUGCUUCAAAAUACAUACAAACGGAGUACGCAUUCGAGAAGUGCUCUCCGUGCUCCGUUUCGCCUACUUUGAUUUGGACUUAUACUCCGACUCUCCCGUGCUCCAAUUUGCGUGCUCGGAGCACGGUAGUAUGCAUUUUGAGAAACACCCCAAAACAGACUAGAGAAUGAUGCACUCCCAGAUACACAUGCUCUAUUUUCAUUUAAUCUAUGAUGUACUAAAUGCCUGGCUAAAAAUCGAUGUAAAAAAAAUCCUCAGGGGCUGAUUCUCUUGAUCCCUUCUUACUGCAGCUUUCUGCCCCCACUUAUUGCAGAAUCAUUAACCUAUAUUUUAAUUUGGCAAUUGUUUCUGGUGUUAUCCCUAAGAUCUGGAAAGCGGCACGUCCUCCCUCUACACAAAGGAGAAGAUCCUUUUGACUGAGAAAACUACCCUCCAAUUUCCAAGUUCUCACCUUUCCAAAGUUUUAGAAUCCCUGGCCAACUCUCAGCUAAGAACUUGUUUUACUUCUCAUUCUAUUUAAAUGUGCAACAAUCUGGUUUUAGACCCUUUCAGCUGCUACGCUUGUUUUAUAGCAUGUGUUAAAUUGUUUCUAGAUGUUGUGUUAAAUUGCUAGAUCAUAAAAACCAUUAUGCUGCCUUAUUUAUAGACCUUUCCAAGGCCUUCGACAUUACAUUCUCAUUCAAAGGGUGAUUGAAAUAUUUCUGGAUCAGGCUUCUUGCAAGUGGUUUGAGAAUUACCUGUCAGAUAGGACCCAAUGCCUGAUUUCUGUCAAGUCUAGUUUUACAAAAGGUGUACCGCAGAGGUCGGUAUUGGGACCUUUUCUUUUGACUAUUUAUAUAAAUAAUAUUGGUCUAUCAGUUAACUUUAUGCAGACGACACUGUUAUGUAUGCCAUUUCCCCAACUGUUGACAAGGCUAUGUUAGAGCUGCAAUCUGUUGGUCUUCCAGAAAGCCCUGGUUGGUUUAAAAGGUGUACUUAAUGCAGGCAAAACUAAAUAUACUGUAUGUUGUUCUCUAAUUCUUGCAAAAUGUUUCUAAUGAACUACAUAUUUAUUCAUUGGAUGGUACUUCCAUAGAUCGGGUUCCCGCCUAUAAAUAUCUGGGCAUUUGUAUUGACAAAAACUUAAUGUUUAAAAAACAUACGGAUGAGCAAGUUAAAAGCUCUCCCUUAAAUAGCAGGUAGCAGAUUGUAUAGUCAUCUUUCCUGACAGUUCUUCACAAUGGUGACACCAUUUACCAGAUUGCAGCAGUUACUACUCUUAAGCUUUGGAUGUCGUCUACCAUAGCGCCCUUCACUUUAUCACAGAUUACAUUUUUAAUACUCACCACUGCAUCCUGUAUCAAAAUGUUCUCUGGUCCUCAUUAAAGUCCCGUAUAUCACUUCAUUAUUCCCUUUUCGUUUUCAAAGCUCUACUACACAAGCUUCUGACCUACCUAAAUUCGGUGUUAAAAUCGAAAUACCAAACCAGUUCACAAGGUUGGCAAACUCUUGAGGUUCCUCGGUUCUACACCGAACUAUGUAAAUCCAAUUUUUAUUUUUAAAGCACCUCUGCUGAAACCAACUACAAAAUCCAUUAGAAUUGGAUGUUCUUGUGCCGCUGAGGCAAUUAAAAAUAUUGAUUUGGGGACCAUACUGAGCAAUGUAAUUGUUUUUCUUGAAUAUUUGUGUUGUGCUGUAUUUUACUUGUUUUUUAUAUUAUAGUUGAUUUUUGAGUUUAUUAAAUUGUAUAUGCCGGGUUCCCUUGUGAAAGAGACCCUUGUCUCAAUGGUGACUCCCUGCUUUAAUAAAGGUUAAAAA